AAUUUCUCUAAUUUUGUUUCUUAUUAUCUUUGUUAUCUCAGCCGGUGUAGGUCUUCUAUUAUUCUCUGAAUUAUCACUGAUUCGCAGCCUUUAGAUCAUAUGUAUCUUUCUCUUCCUAUGAAAUGAUGAAUUGUCGAAUAGCAUACAUCCAAUACUUUGACAUUCUUCAUUGUUCUUAAACUGUGUGCUUGAUAUAUAAAUAAUAAUUUGGCUGCUACUUGAAAAUUGAAAUGUACUUAAUAUAUCCUUGUAUUUUGUUCUGUAGACAGAUGUAGUCAAUUGUUAUUUCUCAUUCAGUAAUCUUAAUGUUUUGUUGUCUUAAUGAAUCAAAAUCUUUAUUAAUACUUAAUAAAUAUACCAUGUUUCAGGGAUAUAUCUUCUUACAAUUUUGCGGCAUAGUUCUGACUAGUUGAGCAACUAGAAGUAUAAACAUGAUUUUGCGUGUUUGUAAGUUGUUUUCAGCUUGUCUGUCACAUGUAAUUUCCUAACUUAAAGAGUAACAUGUAAAGUCAAAUCUCUGCUACCACUAGUUGGUAAGUUCCUUGUUCAUUAAAAUUUUACUGGAACAAAAUACUGUAGCCGAACUGCUAUAGGACUUGAUAAACUACUUACAGACACAACAUUAAUCUUGCAGAAUUGCAUGGUGCUUGAGAGAGGAUCUUACCUGCUCUGGAAAGCCAGAAGUAAUGACCAUUCUACUUAAUGUAAAAAUUACUAGACCAGAUGUGAUGUAUCUGCUGUUUUUCUUUGGUUUUCGUGUUAUGCUACAAAUUUUGACCUCAAAAGGCAUGUGAAGCACAGAAAAUUAAUAUCUAAUGCCUGAUAAUAUUUGUAUUUCUGCCAUAAUCAGAUGGAAACAAAAGUGCAUCCCUUCGACUCCUUCAAGGUUGACACUCUACCCCCCAUGACUAGGCUAUUCCAUUGGUACCAAACAGAAGCAUAAUGUUGAUGAUAUUGUCCAAAAGGUAUAUCCUCUUUUGUCUUGGGUAAGGCUUGUUGUUCUACAGUCCGAUAUUUUUUUCACCUAAUCUCUUGUUCUUUCGUUGUUUUAGAAGUUCAUAUUUUAAAGUUUUGACUUUUGAGUGAUGUGAGAAAUGACUAGUACUCUUGCAUAUCUGGUAGGAUAGACAUGUGUUGUUGCUACUGGUAAGACUCAAAACCUUUCUGAAAUGGAAUUCAUGUCAAGUUCCUUUAUCAUGGUUUUAAACCGAUUUGAUGACAGCAAAGGCAAUUAUAGGAUCCAUUAUUCAGACAAAUCCAACAGUCAUUCUUCUAACUUGAUAUACAUUCAGGACAGCUAACAAAGGUCCCAGUUUUGGCUUUCCAAGUUCAUUCUUAUGCGGUGCAAUUGUUCUGAUUGUGGUGUUAAAUCUCCAUUUGUUUGAUUUUAUGUCCACUUUUAGGUAAACUCUUAUUUGAAGGAUAAUGGAAUUGAAGUUCGUGAAUAUACUAAAGUGGGCUCAGAUGUGUUUUGCUUGCAGCUGAUCACCUUUGCCCGUCUGCAGUCAAAGGAACUGAUGCUGAAAAGACCAACUCUAGUGAGGCUUUUACAGAAAAUGGUGCAGUUAAAUCAGAAGGAAAUAAAGUUGAUCUCAUAUGGGUUGAUCCUGGUUCUUGCUGCUGUGCUUUGUAUUCAAAGUUGAAUUCUGAAAAAGUGCUUCUGAAGCAGUCUCCCGACUCUCCUCUAGCUCUUACAAAAGCUCUAAAGUUGAGUUGGAGGGCUUGAAAAAUGCACAUGUUUGUGAUGGUGCUGCUGUUGUGCAAUAUCUUGUCUGGCUGGAUAUGCAUGUACAAUGUGAGGUUCAGGUUCUCUAAACUCUGAUAUCAUCAAUAACCUCUAUCUUUUAGCUUCUCUGUUAACUUUCAAUCUUAUAGUUUGCAACAAAAUCUACUGCUUUACAACUCGUUGGCUAUAAAUAAAGCUUUACCAUCCAUUGACUAUUUACAAAUCCCUGACUUUGCAGGCAGUCCUUAAUCACAUAAUUGAACAUCAUGGAAGCC
Molecule: long non-coding RNA, 2001 nt
Organism: Mercurialis annua (annual mercury)
Lineage: Eukaryota; Viridiplantae; Streptophyta; Magnoliopsida; Malpighiales; Euphorbiaceae
Exons: 3
Source: RefSeq, a predicted model, not a curated record